AGAAUCAACGCUGGCGGCGUGCCUAACACAUGCAAGUCGAACGAGAAAGGGGUAGCAAUACCCUGAGUAAAGUGGCGCACGGGUGAGUAACACGUGACUAACCUACCCUGGAGUGGGGGAUAACUGAGGGAAACCUUAGCUAAUACCGCAUAACACCUACGGGUCAAAGGAGCAAUUCGCUUCAGGAGGGGUCGCGGCAGAUUAGCUAGUUGGCGGGGUAAUGGCCCACCAAGGCAGUGAUCUGUA
This 246-nucleotide ribosomal RNA is filed under the name uncultured bacterium. RNAcentral describes it as "partial small subunit ribosomal RNA". It matches the Rfam family "Bacterial small subunit ribosomal RNA", at positions 26 to 285 of the family's 1533-position model. The record is from RNAcentral.